AUGCCGAAUAGACCCACGCCCAGCCGAUGAUCGUGAGGAUCGAAAGAAUCGCCAGCACGUUCCAGCCGAGAUAGGCCCAGACCGUUCCAGAGAAACUCAGUCCAAGCGGCUGUCCGUCGGAAGCGAGAUUUGCAACCAGCCACUUAAUUAAAAGCCAGUACAGCACCAAUUGGACGACGAUCAUCAGAUUGCUGAGCAAUUCGCUCCCGAUCAGGGAAAUUGCAAUCGCAAGCACGAGGGCGCCGAAAUACCAUGGAACGA
Molecule: unclassified non-coding RNA, 261 nt
Filed under: Hevea brasiliensis (rubber tree)
Lineage: Eukaryota; Viridiplantae; Streptophyta; Magnoliopsida; Malpighiales; Euphorbiaceae
Source: RNAcentral